UAAAAAGUCCCACUGCCCCCCCAGCCAGGACUGCCCUGACCUAACACCCAGAAAGCUAACAGGUCCUUUUCCCUCCCGCGCGUUUUGCACGGUCUAGCCCCACCGAAGAGUCUUUAUCCUAGACUAUGCAAAAUGCUUCCCGGGACAGCAUUGCCCCCUCGGUGGUCCCCGUGGGCAUGCUCCUCGUGAAAGGGUGAACGGAGAAAACUUGUCGGUUUUGAUGGCGUUUACCAAAGUAGUGCAAGUCUGGUGGCCCGAAGGUGAAUCUCUGCUAACGUGUUGGAACCUGACCUACCCUGGAAGCCUUCUGCGCCUGAUGAAUGUGCCUGGUAAACUGUGAAGGCUUAGUGCGGUGUGAAUCACAGCUUACACUAUUCCAGGAGGUCUCACCUACUUCAGACUCCCCUCGACAUGCCAGCUGAAGGGGGUUGGCACUUGGUUCGCACAAGCCCUCCAGGACACUUUUGGUUAACAUUCACUCUGACGUGUGGGUGCUCCCGCUGAGUCCUCCACAAGAGUUGACAUUUGAAUUAUCUAUGAACUCACUCUGCUGCGAAAGGAACCUACUUGAUGAAGAGAGAGAGAGAGAACCAGCUCCAAGUUGUCCUAUGACUUCCAUUCGUGACAAGUGCGCAGCUCCCCAAUGUAAAGGAAGGAAGGAAAGAGAAAAUCAGCCACCAAUCCCUUUUCUUCUUUUCUCUCUUUUUUUUUUUCUUUUGCAAUGCUAGAGGGCAAACCCUGGGCCUUACACAAUCCGGGGCAAAUUGUUCUACCCCUCUAAGCUGUAUUCCCAACCCUCAACCAUUUCCUUGUUAUACUAAGAUGUCAUCUGCACCUUUGCUCUCAUUCUCUCACGAGUACAAGCAGUGUUGCGACAGACAUAACACAGGAACUGUGUCUAUUCAGACAGGCAUGAGAAAAAUUAGCAAAAUAAAAAACACAGCGCCUCUACAUUCACUAAGUUUGGUUUUGUUUUAGAAAACACUGGGCUUCCCCCCCUGUAUAAUAUUUGUAUGUUAGCUUACCACUGGUUUAUUAAACAAAUAAAUAAUGUUUUUUUUUGUUUUGAACUUUAAA
Molecule: long non-coding RNA, 1077 nt
Organism: Mesocricetus auratus (golden hamster)
Lineage: Eukaryota; Metazoa; Chordata; Mammalia; Rodentia; Cricetidae
Exons: 3
Source: RefSeq, a predicted model, not a curated record